Molecule: ribosomal RNA, 275 nt
Filed under: uncultured bacterium
Lineage: Bacteria
Description: partial 16S ribosomal RNA
Rfam family: Bacterial small subunit ribosomal RNA
Source: RNAcentral
CUAAGGCCGAUGGCGACCGGCGCACGGGUGAGUAACACGUAUCCAACCUGCCGAUGACUCGGGGAUAGCCUUUCGAAAGAAAGAUUAAUACCCGAUGGCAUAGUUCUUCCGCAUGGUAGAACUAUUAAAGAAUUUCGGUCAUCGAUGGGGAUGCGUUCCAUUAGGUUGUUGGCGGGGUAACGGCCCACCAAGCCUUCGAUGGAUAGGGGUUCUGAGAGGAAGGUCCCCCACAUUGGAACUGAGACACGGUCCAAACUCCUACGGGAGGCAGCAUG